Molecule: ribosomal RNA, 380 nt
Filed under: uncultured bacterium
Lineage: Bacteria
Description: bacterial SSU rRNA
Rfam family: Bacterial small subunit ribosomal RNA
Source: RNAcentral
AUUAAACGCUGGCGGCAUGCCUUACACAUGCAAGUCGAACGGUAGCGCGGGGCAACCUGGCGACGAGUGGCGAACGGGUGAGUAAAGCAUCGGAACGUGCCCUGGAAUGGGGGAUAACGUAGCGAAAGUUACGCUAAUACCGCAUAUUCUGUGAGCAGGAAAGCAGGGGAUCGCAAGACCUUGCGUUCUGGGAGCGGCCGAUGUCGGAUUAGCUAGUUGGUGGGGUAAAGGCCUACCAAGGCGACGAUCCGUAGCGGGUCUGAGAGGAUGAUCCGCCACACUGGGACUGAGACACGGCCCAGACUCCUACGGGAGGCAGCAGUGGGGAAUUUUGGACAAUGGGCGGAAGCCUGAUCCAGCCAUGCCGCGUGAGUGAAGAA